AACGCCCACAAUUUUUAAUGUAAACCCCUUCGAUGAGGUUCACUGUCUCUCGUAUUCUACAAAUCUCCCUCGAAUAGAUUCUGCACGAUUGAUUACUUGCAUUAUUCGCGCAAAUUACGCGAGGAUUGUUAUUAGACGACGCGAUCAAAGGUAACAAACAGACUUUUCGAAAUCCAUUCCUUUUUCGAAAAUACAACAGUAAACACUGAGGAACGAAGAAAAGGUCAUUGCGAAGAAAUCCAUUCUUUCUUCGAAGAUACCACAGUUAACACUGAGUAACGAAGAAAAGGUCAUUGCGAAGCUGUUGGUGGAAUCGAUUUCAAGCGUUGUGUCACAGACUGUGUCUACAUCAGGAGAGAAGCUCAAAGCCAAAGGUAAGAA
Non-coding RNA from Pocillopora verrucosa, 381 nucleotides. The record is from RefSeq and is a predicted model, not a curated record. NCBI's taxonomy places the organism in Eukaryota, Metazoa, Cnidaria, Anthozoa, Scleractinia, Pocilloporidae.